Molecule: ribosomal RNA, 2024 nt
Filed under: Frateuria sp. Soil773
Lineage: Bacteria; Pseudomonadati; Pseudomonadota; Gammaproteobacteria; Lysobacterales; Rhodanobacteraceae
Description: bacterial LSU rRNA
Rfam family: Bacterial large subunit ribosomal RNA
Source: RNAcentral
CAUCGCGACUUAGCAAACCAUGGCAAACUCCGAAUACCAGGACAGACUAUCCGGGAGACACACGGCGGGUGCUAACGUCCGUCGUGAAAAGGGAAACAACCCAGACCCGCAGCUAAGGUCCCAAAGUUAGUGCUAAGUGGAAAACGAUGUGGAAAGGCAUAGACAGCCAGGAGGUUGGCUUAGAAGCAGCCACCCUUUAAAGAAAGCGUAAUAGCUCACUGGUCGAGUCGGUCUGCGCGGAAGAUUUAACGGGGCUAAGCACUACACCGAAGCUCGGGGUGCACAGCAAUGUGCGCGGUAGAGGAGCGUUCCGUACGCCUGCGAAGGUGGAUCGUAAGGUCUGCUGGAGGUAUCGGAAGUGCGAAUGCUGACAUGAGUAACGAUAAUGCGGGUGAAAAGCCCGCACGCCGAAAGCCCAAGGUUUCCUCGCGCAACGUUCAUCGGCGCAGGGUGAGUCGGCCCCUAAGGCGAGGCAGAAAUGCGUAGUCGAUGGGAAGCUGGUUAAUAUUCCAGCACUUUUCUCAAGUGCGAUGUGGGGACGGAGAAAGUUAGGUCUACCGGGCGUUGGUUGUCCCGGGGAAAGGCGGUAGGCAUGGAUCUUUGGCAAAUCCGGGAUCCUUUAUGCCGAGCACCGAGACGAGUCCUAUUUGGACGAAGUGACUGAUACUACGCUUCCAGGAAAAGCCACUAAGCUUCAGCUUGAGAAAAACCGUACCGUAAACCGACACUGGUAGGCAGGGUGAGAAUCCCAAGGCGCUUGAGAGAACUCGGGUGAAGGAACUAGGCAAAAUGGCACCGUAACUUCGGGAGAAGGUGCGCCCUUUUUGGUGGUCACGUGCGUGACUGAGCUGAGAAGGGUCGCAGUAACCUGGCCGCUGCGACUGUUUAUCAAAAACACAGCACUCUGCAAACACGAAAGUGGACGUAUAGGGUGUGACGCCUGCCCGGUGCUGGAAGGUUAAUUGAUGGGGUCAGCCGCAAGGCGAAGCUCUUGAUCGAAGCCCCAGUAAACGGCGGCCGUAACUAUAACGGUCCUAAGGUAGCGAAAUUCCUUGUCGGGUAAGUUCCGACCUGCACGAAUGGCGUAACGACAGCGGCGCUGUCUCCACCCGAGACUCAGUGAAAUUGAAAUCGCUGUGAAGAUGCAGCGUUCCCGCGGCAAGACGGAAAGACCCCGUGAACCUUUACUAUAGCUUUACACUGAACGUUGAGUUCUUCUGUGUAGGAUAGGUGGGAGGCUAUGAAACCAGGACGCCAGUCUUGGUGGAGCCAUCCUUGAAAUACCACCCUGAAGUGCUUGACGUUCUAACCUAGGCCCGUAAUCCGGGUCAGGGACCGUGUAUGGUGGGUAGUUUGACUGGGGCGGUCUCCUCCCAAAGAGUAACGGAGGAGCACGAAGGUACGCUCAGCGCGGUCGGACAUCGCGCACUGUGUGCAAAGGCAUAAGCGUGCUUGACUGCGAGAUCGACGGAUCAAGCAGGUACGAAAGUAGGUCUUAGUGAUCCGGUGGUUCUGUAUGGAAGGGCCAUCGCUCAACGGAUAAAAGGUACUCCGGGGAUAACAGGCUGAUACCGCCCAAGAGUUCAUAUCGACGGCGGUGUUUGGCACCUCGAUGUCGGCUCAUCACAUCCUGGGGCUGUAGCCGGUCCCAAGGGUAUGGCUGUUCGCCAUUUAAAGUGGUACGCGAGCUGGGUUCAGAACGUCGUGAGACAGUUCGGUCCCUAUCUGUCGUGGGCGUUGGAGAUUUGAGGGGGGCUGCUCCUAGUACGAGAGGACCGGAGUGGACGUUCCGCUGGUGUUCGGGUUGUCUCGCCAGAGGCAUUGCCCGGUAGCUACGAACGGAAGUGAUAACCGCUGAAAGCAUCUAAGCGGGAAGCACGCCCCAAGAUGAGAUCUCCCGAGAGCUCGACUCUCCUUAAGGCACCAUCAAGACCAGGUGGUUGAUAGGUCAGGUGUGGAAGCGCAGCAAUGCGUUGAGCUAACUGAUACUAAUGAGCCGUGCGGCUUGACCAUAUAACCCCAAG